This 292-nucleotide ribosomal RNA is filed under the name uncultured bacterium. RNAcentral's name for it is "partial 16S ribosomal RNA". It matches the Rfam family "Bacterial small subunit ribosomal RNA", at positions 505 to 796 of the family's 1533-position model. The record is from RNAcentral.
GUGCCAGCCGCCGCGGUAAUACGUGGGGUGCAAGCGUUGUUCGGAAUUACUGGGCGUAAAGCGCGUGUAGGCGGUUUGUUAUGUCAGGUGUGAAAGCCCUCGGCCCAACCGAGGAAGUGCGCCUGAAACUGGCAGACUUGAGUACGAGAGAGGAGGACGGAAUUCCCAGUGUAGAGGUGAAAUUCGUAGAUAUUGGGAGGAACACCGGCGGCGAAAGCGGUCCUCUGGAUCGAUACUGACGCUAAGACGCGAAAGCGUGGGUAGCAAACAGGAUUAGAUACCCGGGUAGUCC